GCAAGUCGAACGUGAACUGGAGCUUGCUCCAGUGGAAAGUGGAGACGGGUGAGUAACGCGUGGGAACCUACCAGUAGUACGGAACAACAGUUGGAAACGACUGCUAAUACCGUAUACGUCCUUCGGGAGAAAGAUUUAUCGCUAUGGAUGGGCCCGCGUGGAUUAGCUUGUUGGUGAGGUAAUGGCUCACCAAGGCGAGAUCCAUAGCUGGUCUGAGAGGAUGAUCAGCCACACUGGGACUUAACACGGCCAACUCCUACGGAGGCAGCAGUGGGGAAUAUUGCACAAUGGGCGCAAGCCUGAUGCAGCCAUGCCGCGUGAGUGAAGAAGGCCCUAGGGUUGUAAAGCUCUUUCGGCGGGGACGAUAAUGACGGUACCCGCAGAAGAAGCCCCGGCUAACUCCGUGCCAGCAGCCGCGGUAAUACGGAGGGGGCUAGCGUUGUUCGGAAUUACUGGGCGUAAAGCGCGCGUANGCGGAUCUUUAAGUCAGGGGUGAAAUCCCGGGGCUCAACCUCGGAACUGCCCUUGAUACUGGAGAUCUUGAGUCCGGAAGAGGUUAGUGGAAUUCC
Molecule: ribosomal RNA, 569 nt
Filed under: uncultured bacterium
Lineage: Bacteria
Description: bacterial SSU rRNA
Rfam family: Bacterial small subunit ribosomal RNA
Source: RNAcentral